Molecule: ribosomal RNA, 440 nt
Filed under: uncultured bacterium
Lineage: Bacteria
Description: partial 16S ribosomal RNA
Rfam family: Bacterial small subunit ribosomal RNA
Source: RNAcentral
CCUACGGGGUGCUGCAGUGGGGGAUAUUGCACAAUGGGGGAAACCCUGAUGCAGCGACGCCGCGUGAGUGAAGAAGUAUUUCGGUGUGUAAAGCUCUGUCAGCAGGGAAGAAAAUGACGGUACCUGAUUAAGAAGCCCCGGCUAACUACGUGCCAGCAGCCGCGGUAAUACGUAGGGGGCAAGUGUUAUCCGGAUUUACUGGGUGUAAAGGGAGCGUAGACGGCAGUACAAGUCUGGAGUGAAAUCCCGGGGCUUAACCCCGGAACUGCUCUGGAAACUGGGCAGCUGGAGUGCAGGAGAGGUAAGUGGAAUUCCUGGUGUAGCGGUGAAAUGCGGAGAUAUCAGGAGGAACACCAGUGGCGAAGGCGGCUUACUGGACUGUAACUGACGUUGAGGCUCGAAAGCGUGGGGAGCAAACAGGAUUAGAUACCCUAGUAGUC